AUCUCUGCCUCCACAGCUGUCUGAUUUAGCCUCCACGGUUUUUUGUUGUUGUUGUCCUUUUAAUCCAAAUACCUACUGCAAAAGCCUAACCACUGUUAAAAGAACAUUCGUCUUUGAAGCAUUUUAUGUAAUGUAUUCCCAGUGUACACCUCUUAAUCCUGUAGAACAGUUAUUAGUUAAUGUUGUAAUCAGCUAGGGAAAAGGGUAGGAAAAGGCACUCUGGUUCGGUUUAACAUAGGCAUCUCGGAGUUCUUCUGUUUCUGAGGUCUACAGGGCAGAGUCUGAACGCCAUUAAGUUUCCUUGUCAUCUUAGUGCCUUUCCAUCCCUUUCGUUUAAAUGAUUCAAAUUCUCUUUUUCCUUCCUGGCGGCGAUCACAACAAAACACAUUCCACUAUAUGGAGAAAGAGAUCUAUACUUAGCUCCACAACUGAACCGGCAAGAACAUUUUUGUAGGCAUAAAGAUAAGCAACAAACCAGAAACAGAGUUUUGGGGACACACAUCUGCAGAGGCUUCAAAUAAUCUUUUUACCAAGAGCAUCUGAUAAAGCGCUGCUGUAAACGCGGGGUCAGCAGUGUGCCGGUGAGCCUUCGUCUAGCGCCGCGUUCCUCGGGCUCUCCGGGCAGCCCUCCUGCGAGCCUCCUCCCGCCCUCCCUGCCGUGCAUUCGGAGCGGCUCCGCAGAUUCCCACAUAAAGUGGGUCCUGGCCGCCAUCUUAGAGAGUCAUUCACACCAGCCGGACCGCGGCACCACGCUUCCAAGCCUCCCAGGACUGCGCCCAACCUCCUCCCUCGCUGCUCUCCCUCUCCCUCGGCUUGCACAGGGGGUCAAACUCCAGGUCUGAGGCAAGCCGUGCCUCUGAAAUCUGCAUGAUGUAAAAUGUCAAGUCUGACCACCCAACACAGGAGCAGAGCGAAUGAGGCGAUGCACGUGUUUGCACGUCGGGUGCGUAUCAAUUUCCCAUGCAGAGACCCAUGGAAGAGCCACUGGGCGAUUUAAAGGAGGUACAGCGCAGAGGGGUUUCCACUCCAGAACCUAAGAAAGCGGAGUGCUAUCUUCUCCACGCUGAGGACCUGCUACUAGAGGGCAGAGACCCGAGCCGAGGGGUGGAGCAGCACGGGCAGAGAAAGUUCCCAUCUGCUGGCGCUCCAGCUGCUGCAGUCCCCUUUCAUCCCCGGGCACCCCGGCCAACACUCCAUCUCCGGACCUCCCCCUCUCCCGUGUCUCAGACACAACGUAGUAAACACCCGGAGUCCCAGGCAGCGCGCACCUCCCCCAGGCCUGCGGAGGACAUCCCGGCAGGUUAUGAAUGGCCUCACUAUACCCAGCUCCUUUUCACACGCGGGCACGCGCACACGCGCGCCCCGGAGGCGAAGAUUUAAUACCCCCGGUCAGAGCAACGGCCAACAGAAUCAAUGGCCCUCCAUCAGAGAGAGAGAAAGGAAGGCGCUCACGCUUCCCAGGCCUCACCAAAGAGGUUCUAGACCGGGCGACACAACCCAUUUUCCCAGGUUGACUCUAAUGUGAGGACGUUCCUUCUCCUAAUUAUAUUCCCUGCACCGACUGGAUAGUGGGAAUUCAGAGUACGCCCAACUUGGAACCUUCCAGGGUAUUGGAUAUCAGGAGAAGUGAAUUUCCACAGGCGAUCGCAGAUUUGCUACGUUCUUUCUCAAUGUGCGGAAAGUAUGAAUAAAUUCUCAUUGUAA
Mus musculus (house mouse) is the source of this 1704-nucleotide long non-coding RNA. RefSeq annotates it as predicted gene 4123. The record is from RefSeq and is marked validated. The transcript has 2 exons. Lineage: Eukaryota; Metazoa; Chordata; Mammalia; Rodentia; Muridae.